GAACGCUGGCGGCGUGCCUAACACAUGCAAGUCGAGCGAUCUUCUUCGGAAGAGAGCGGCGGACGGGUGAGUAACGCGUGGGUAACCUGCCCUGUACACACGGAUAACAUACCGAAAGGUAUGCUAAUACGGGAUAACAUAAGAAAGUCGCAUGGCUUUCUCAUCAAAGCUUUUGCGGUACAGGAUGGACCCGCGUCUGAUUAGCUAGUUGGUAAGGUAACGGCUUACCAAGGCGACGAUCAGUAGCCGACCUGAGAGGGUGAUCGGCCACAUUGGAACUGAGACACGGUCCAAACUCCUACGGGAGGCAGCAGUGGGGAAUAUUGCACAAUGGGCGAAAGCCUGAUGCAGCAACGCCGCGUGAGCGAUGAAGGCCUUCGGGUCGUAAAGCUCUGUCCUCAAGGAAGAUAAUGACGGUACUUGAGGAGGAAGCCCCGGCUAACUACGUGCCAGCAGCCGCGGUAAUACGUAGGGGGCUAGCGUUAUCCGGAAUUACUGGGCGUAAAGGGUGCGUAGGCGGUCUUUCAAGUCAGAAGUGAAAGGCUACGGCUCAACCGUAGUAAGCUUUUGAAACUGUAAGACUUGAGUGCAGGAGAGGAGAGUGGAAUUCCUAGUGUAGCGGUGAAAUGCGUAGAUAUUAGGAGGAACACCAGUUGCGAAGGCGGCU
This 667-nucleotide ribosomal RNA is filed under the name uncultured Clostridium sp. RNAcentral's name for it is "bacterial SSU rRNA". It matches the Rfam family "Bacterial small subunit ribosomal RNA", at positions 31 to 726 of the family's 1533-position model. Lineage: Bacteria; Bacillati; Bacillota; Clostridia; Eubacteriales; Clostridiaceae. The record is from RNAcentral.